This 216-nucleotide ribosomal RNA is filed under the name Glomeromycotina sp. RNAcentral's name for it is "partial small subunit ribosomal RNA". The stretch from base 40 to 216 matches the Rfam family "Eukaryotic small subunit ribosomal RNA", at positions 686 to 864 of the family's 1831-position model. Lineage: Eukaryota; Fungi; Glomeromycota. The record is from RNAcentral.
GGGUCAGUAGGUUGGUCGUGCCACCGGUACGUACUGGUCUCACUGAUUCCUCCUUCCUGAAGAACCGUAAUGCCAUUAAUUUGGUGUUGUGGGGAAACAGGACUGUUACUUUGAAAAAAUUAGAGUGUUUAAGGCAAGCUAACGCUUGAAUACAUUAGCAUGGAAUAAUGAAAUAGGACGAUCGAUCCUAUUUUGUUGGUUUCUAGGAUUGACGUA